Molecule: transfer RNA, 76 nt
Filed under: Bowdeniella nasicola
Lineage: Bacteria; Bacillati; Actinomycetota; Actinomycetes; Actinomycetales; Actinomycetaceae
Also listed under: 3 other names
Description: Actinomyces nasicola tRNA-Gly
Rfam family: tRNA
About the family: Transfer RNA (tRNA) molecules are approximately 80 nucleotides in length. Their secondary structure includes four short double-helical elements and three loops (D, anti-codon, and T loops). Further hydrogen bonds mediate the characteristic L-shaped molecular structure. tRNAs have two regions of fundamental functional importance: the anti-codon, which is responsible for specific mRNA codon recognition, and the 3' end, to which the tRNAs corresponding amino acid is attached (by aminoacyl-tRNA synthetases). tRNAs cope with the degeneracy of the genetic code in two manners: having more than one tRNA (with a specific anti-codon) for a particular amino acid; and 'wobble' base-pairing, i.e. permitting non-standard base-pairing at the 3rd anti-codon position.
Source: RNAcentral
GCGGAUGUGGCUCAGUUGGUAGAGCAUCACCUUGCCAAGGUGAGGGUCGCGGGUUCGAGUCCCGUCAUCCGCUCGA